CAUCUUUCACAUGGGAGUUUUUAUCUCUUGAUUCCAGGAAGAAAAAAGGAUAUGAGAAUGUGCAUUUUUCAUCUGCUAUUUUUCAAGUGCCUUUAGCUUAAAAAUAAUCCUUAGGCCAAAGUGGCAUUUUUUGGAUGGCGUAUUCUGCCACCCUUAAAUAGUUUCCUAUUAAACAAGAAAUUUACACUCUCCAACUUCCUCCUUUCUCCACUGCUAUCUCGACAGGGGCAACCUCUGCUUCAAUACUGGCAGGACAGAAAAAUCCUGUAACUGCUCUGCUUCAACAAGGGAGAAACUAAAGAGGGAACCGAAGAGAUGGAGAAUUUCAAACCACCAUCCCAGAAUCUCUUGGAACUCAAGGCAUUUCUCCUGGAAAGUUCCCAGAAGCACUUCUAAUCUUCUACUUUGCUAAGAUUCCGCCUCAUUAUUCACUUGUUGACAAAGCUCCAUCUGGUGAUUUUGGAAGUUGGGUUUCUGAGUGGACGUCCAGUUUAUUGAUUCCCAGCGCUGGAAUCUGAGCAACCCACUGCGCCGGCCAAAACAGCGGCGUUAAGACUGAUGGUGCUGUUCUGCCCGGGAAUCUCCUCCCGUUUACUCUGCACGAAGAGCUGCCACGCCAAGGCGCCGACAAAACUGCUGUGCCGGCCACAAGAGUUGUACUGGCGACCUGUGGGGUUCCUCCACUGGGAAUCUUCUGCUGAACAGCUGCUGGGCAUGGUCUGCACUUCUCCAGCCUGGGGCCUCAAGGGAAGUAUGUGAGAAACCCCAGACUCCAGUCUUGCCACCUCACUCAGCCCCUGGAUCAAAGAAGACCAAGCUCGUGUGCCCCCACAGUGGGUCCACCAGCCAUGCCUGGCCCGAUUCUUAGCUGUCUUUCUACUAGCCUAUGGACUCCACCGGGUCUUGCCAACACCUGGCACGAAGUCGGGUUCUUACUAAAUAUGUGUGCAGUGAGAACUAUGUAUCGCACAAACAAGCCGAGUGCUUGCCACUGGAAGGGCUCCCGGCAUCACCCCAGUGCACCAUGAGACCUGGGCAAAAGAUCAGCCCUACUUCAGAGGGGCUUGCUGGUGUUACAUACUGAGACUUACUUUCCUGGCAGCCCCCAACUUCCCCAGAGAAGUAGAGCUCCCAGGCCAUGGGAGAGAAGGGCUUCCCUCCUCCCAUGGACGUAGCAGCCCGCAUCAGAGCCAGAACCAAAUCUUACUGAAGGCCAAAGCACGGACCCUAACAGACCAGGCAUCCCUGCUGCUUCCUCACACCCAGAGUCUGUGGACAGAAUUCAAGGAUUCAUGAAUGUGGAUAAAAAAAAAUACAUAUUAUUUCUACUAAGCACUAACUGAAAUGUAGCAUUUCCUUUUUUUAUGAAUGUAGGCCACAAACUACAAUAUCUGAUAUUCUUUCACCAAGUUUUCACAUGACAUUUUCACAUUAUAUUACAACUACACAUCAACAAUUUUGAACAUUCUGGCAACAUUUAGAUCUGUUGCUAGAUCUUGUUGUUUAAGCCAUUAAUAAAGAAGUACAUAUUUUAAUAGUUUCCUUUGUAAUUCAAUUUUAUU
This is a long non-coding RNA of Callithrix jacchus (white-tufted-ear marmoset), 1562 nucleotides long. RefSeq lists it as uncharacterized. The record is from RefSeq and is a predicted model, not a curated record. Lineage: Eukaryota; Metazoa; Chordata; Mammalia; Primates; Cebidae.